UGGGGAAUUGUUCACAAUGGGCGCAAGCCUGAUGACGCAACGCCGCGUGGAGGAUGAAGGUCUUCGGAUUGUAAACUCCUGUUGCCCGGGACGAAAAGCUCCGACCUAAUACGUCGGAGUCUGACGGUACCGGGUGAGGAAGCCCCGGCUAACUCUGUGCCAGCAGCCGCGGUAAUACAGAGGGGGCAAGCGUUGUUCGGAAUUACUGGGCGUAAAGGGCGCGUAGGCGGCCUGUUAAGUCGAACGUGAAAUCCCCGGGCUCAACCCGGGAACUGCGUCCGAUACUGGCAGGCUUGAAUCCGGGAGAGGGAUGCGGAAUUCCAGGUGUAGCGGUGAAAUGCGUAGAUAUCUGGAGGAACAUCGGUGGCGAAGGCGGCAUCCUGGACCGGUAUUGACGCUGAGGCGCGAAAGCCAGGGGAGCAAACGGGAUUAGAUACCCCGGUAGUCC
Molecule: ribosomal RNA, 448 nt
Filed under: uncultured bacterium
Lineage: Bacteria
Description: bacterial SSU rRNA
Rfam family: Bacterial small subunit ribosomal RNA
Source: RNAcentral